Molecule: non-coding RNA, 241 nt
Organism: Pelobates cultripes (western spadefoot toad)
Lineage: Eukaryota; Metazoa; Chordata; Amphibia; Anura; Pelobatidae
Source: the annotation of a GenBank genome assembly
GGCAUGGGUCUCCCAAAUAUUGAUCUCUAUUACAAGGCGGCAAUCACUGGUCCUAUAGUGGCAGUCUUCCAUCAAUAUACCUCACCACCCUCUUGAGUGCAAUUAGAGGCAUCUUACACUGAGGGGUAUGAUAUCACCGUAAUAGCGGGAAUAAACAAGCCACACAGGAAAAAAUUCCAAACGAUGCUCCCGAAAACAUCCUUGACGCUAAAAGAAUGGGACAAAUAUACCCAAACUCUCG